AUUGAACGCUGGCGGCAGGCCUAACACAUGCAAGUCGAACGGUAACAGGAAGCAGCUUGCUGCUUUGCUGACGAGUGGCGGACGGGUGAGUAAUGUCUGGGAAACUGCCUGAUGGAGGGGGAUAACUACUGGAAACGGUAGCUAAUACCGCAUAACGUCGCAAGACCAAAGAGGGGGACCUUCGGGCCUCUUGCCAUCGGAUGUGCCCAGAUGGGAUUAGCUAGUAGGUGGGGUAAAGGCUCACCUAGGCGACGAUCCCUAGCUGGUCUGAGAGGAUGACCAGCCACACUGGAACUGAGACACGGUCCAGACUCCUACGGGAGGCAGCAGUGGGGAAUAUUGCACAAUGGGCGCAAGCCUGAUGCAGCCAUGCCGCGUGUAUGAAGAAGGCCUUCGGGUUGUAAAGUACUUUCAGCGGGGAGGAAGGGAGUAAAGUUAAUACCUUUGCUAAUUGACGUUACCCGCAGAAGAAGCACCGGCUAACUCCGUG
This 490-nucleotide ribosomal RNA is filed under the name uncultured bacterium. Its description in RNAcentral is "partial 16S ribosomal RNA". It matches the Rfam family "Bacterial small subunit ribosomal RNA", at positions 30 to 507 of the family's 1533-position model. The record is from RNAcentral.